GGUGUGAUCAUACCAGCACUAAUGCACCGGAUCC
This 34-nucleotide ribosomal RNA is filed under the name Callistachys lanceolata. Lineage: Eukaryota; Viridiplantae; Streptophyta; Magnoliopsida; Fabales; Fabaceae. The record is from RNAcentral.